This is a non-coding RNA of Paramuricea clavata, 221 nucleotides long. Lineage: Eukaryota; Metazoa; Cnidaria; Anthozoa; Malacalcyonacea; Plexauridae. The record is from the annotation of a GenBank genome assembly.
ACAAGUGCUUUAAAUAGUACGUCAAAUUUAAGUGUUGCUUUAAUGAACAUAGACAAAGAUUGUUCUUAUCAUAAUAAUAAAAAGUUUUUUUCUGUCCAAAGUAUGUAUAUAAAGUGUGGAAUAAUUAAUAUAUUCGUUGUUGCAUGGGUGAAACUGGGAGGAGCGAAUUCGAAAUUAUGAGACAAGUACAUAUAAUAUGGGGCAGCAAGAUGAGAUGGUAG